This 253-nucleotide ribosomal RNA is filed under the name uncultured bacterium. Its description in RNAcentral is "partial 16S ribosomal RNA". It matches the Rfam family "Bacterial small subunit ribosomal RNA", at positions 524 to 776 of the family's 1533-position model. The record is from RNAcentral.
UACAGAGGUCUCGAGCGUUAGGCGGAAUCACUGGGCUUAAAGCGUGUGUAGGCGGAUCGGUAAGUACCUUGUGAAAUCCCACGGCUCAACCGUGGAACUGCUUGGUAUACUGCUUAUCUUGGGCCAUCUAGGGGCUACCGGAACAAGUGGUGGAGCGGUGAAAUGCGUAGAUAUCACUUGGAACGCCAAUGGUGAAAACAGGUAGCUGGGGAUGUGCCGACGCUGAGACACGAAAGCCAGGGGAGCGAACGGG